Myotis brandtii (Brandt's bat) is the source of this 605-nucleotide long non-coding RNA. RefSeq lists it as uncharacterized. The record is from RefSeq and is a predicted model, not a curated record. NCBI's taxonomy places the organism in Eukaryota, Metazoa, Chordata, Mammalia, Chiroptera, Vespertilionidae. The transcript is spliced from 3 exons.
AAAUGUCCUCAGUGUUCCCAUUCAGGAACCUGGUGUGCAUCUGUUGUCACAGCCCUCUCGGGGGCAGUCCCCUUGCACUGUGACAGCAGGUGGCAUUGUCCUCCCUGAGGGAUAUUGGCAUCCCAUUCUGUGGCCUUUGCAAUCGUCGAGAUUCUAGUUGUUCAAGCUGUGAUUUUCCUUCCAGCGUGUGCGCUCUCCCGCCAUGUAAGCCUGUCCGCACCAGCGCUGCGCGCUGCUGUGAAGGUAGAAAUUGCCCUUCCUUGCUCCUCUGGUGAUUUUGAACCAUGGCCGACAUAACAUCAUUGGAAGAAGGAGACUCUUAGAGAGAAACCCCACCCGUCCUUUCAUGUGCAGGGAACUCCUAAGUGAGUUCGCUGCUUCUGGGUUUUUCCCGGAGACGUUCUUGAACAGGUCCCCCAGGAGCACUGCGCCGCGCCCUUCCUGACGGCAAAAACAAACCAGGUCCAAGAGGAGAAGGAAGUGUUUUAAAUGCCAUCUCAUUGCCUCUGGGUUCAUUUUAUGGAUAUAAAGAACGUUGCCGAGUUUAAGAAGAUGAGUUAAUUAAGAAAUUAUAAUUCUCAGAAAGCCUCUUGACAUAAUUAAAA